This 65-nucleotide transfer RNA is filed under the name Dipodomys ordii (Ord's kangaroo rat). It matches the Rfam family "tRNA". From Rfam's summary of the family: Transfer RNA (tRNA) molecules are approximately 80 nucleotides in length. Their secondary structure includes four short double-helical elements and three loops (D, anti-codon, and T loops). Lineage: Eukaryota; Metazoa; Chordata; Mammalia; Rodentia; Heteromyidae. The record is from Rfam by way of RNAcentral.
GGUGGCUCAGCGGUAGAGUGCUUGCCUUGCAUGCAUGACGCCCUGGGUUCGAUUCCUCAGCACCA